AUGGUGCACACCUCGAGCCCGUCGUUGUUGCUCGUGCUGCUCGUCGCGGUGGCGGUGGCGGCAGGAGCCAGAUUGCCCGUGGAUGCGGCCCGGAACGCAACGUUGGGCGAGCUCCGCGUCAAGAACGGCCUCGGCAGGACCCCGCAGAUGGGGUGGAACAGCUGGAACCACUUCUACUGCGGGAUCAGCGAGGGAGUCAUCAGGGAGACAGCUGAUGCAUUGAUCAACACUGGUUUGGCGAAAUUGGGCUACAAAUAUGUUAACAUCGAUGAUUGCUGGGCAGAAUUAAACAGGGAUUACCAGGGUAACAUGGUUCCAAAUAAAAGAACAUUCCCCUCUGGCAUCAAGGCGCUUGCAGAUUAUGUGCACGCGAAAGGGUUGAAGCUCGGCAUCUACAGUGAUGCUGGGACACAAACAUGCAGUAACAAAAUGCCAGGAUCACUGGAUCACGAAGAGCAAGAUGUCAAGACGUUUGCGUCUUGGGGAGUUGAUUAUCUGAAGUACGACAACUGCAACGAUGCUGGCAGGAACGUCAAGGAAAGAUACACUAGGAUGAGCAACGCCAUGAAGAAAUACGGGAAGAACAUCUUCUUCUCACUCUGCGAAUGGGGAGUCGAAAACCCUGCUACAUGGGCACGUGGCAUGGGUGGUAAUAGUUGGAGGACAACCGGCGACAUUGCUGACAACUGGGACAGCAUGACAUCACGCGCAGACCAGAAUGACAGAUGGGCCUCCUACGCUGGACCUGGUGGAUGGAACGAUCCUGAUAUGCUUGAAGUUGGAAAUGGCGGGAUGUCUGAAGCUGAGUACCGCUCGCACUUCAGCAUCUGGGCACUUGCAAAGGCUCCUCUUCUUCUUGGGUGCGACGUGCGCUCGAUGAGCCCGCAGACAAAGAACAUAAUCAGCAAUACGGAGGUCAUCGCUGUCAACCAAGAUAGACUUGGCGUGCAGGGAAAGAAGGUGCAAUCCGAUGGUGGUUUGGAGGUUUGGGCCGGACCACUCAGCGGCAACAGAAAGGUGGUGGUUCUAUGGAAUAGGCAGGGGCACCAAGCAACCAUCACCACACACUGGUCAAAAGUCGGGCUUCCGGUAUCCGCGGCUGUCACCGCUCGCGAUCUAUGGGCGCACUCGUCAUUCUCCGCUCAGGGGCAGCUAUCUGCAUCAGUGGCGCCUCAUGACUGCAAGAUGUACAUCCUGACACCAAAGUAA
RNAcentral lists this ribosomal RNA (1209 nucleotides) under Triticum aestivum (bread wheat). Its description in RNAcentral is "partial small subunit ribosomal RNA". The record is from RNAcentral. Lineage: Eukaryota; Viridiplantae; Streptophyta; Magnoliopsida; Poales; Poaceae.